Non-coding RNA from Bemisia tabaci, 1058 nucleotides. The record is from RefSeq and is a predicted model, not a curated record. NCBI's taxonomy places the organism in Eukaryota, Metazoa, Arthropoda, Insecta, Hemiptera, Aleyrodidae.
UCUCUUCAAAAAAAUAAAAUAGAAGCAGAUAUUUUGAAACACCGAGAUAGAGAUAUAAGGUUCAAUACUUAUUUGGCCAUCGAAGUUUCCCUUACCUAUACUUGCUGAAAUAGGGAAAAACUUAGAGUCGUCACUUUUUCCUCAUUCUUAAGAUCGGAAAAAUCAUUGAGAAUUUGAAACAAUGUUAAUGAGCAGGAAGCACUAGUUCAACUAGGCCCACAAAAAUGGGAAUUAAACACAUGGAAAAAAGAAUAAAAUCUGCCUGUGAUAACACCUUGUGCGACCGGAACUAUGCAGUAUAAACAAGUUUUGCAAGGCCACUGUUGCAUUGGUGCAUAUUGAUAAACUCAAAAACGGAUUUAAUGAACGAGUAUAAAUAGAGCAAGUGAACAGAAUGCAUUGAGCAGUUGUUUCAGUAAACACUCUGGUGAAAUCCUCCUUUACUUCACAGUCCCAGUUCAUGCAAGACACCAAUAAAAUGGAACUCAGUAAAACUAUCGCACUGAUCUCUAUCCUGGCUGUAUUGAUUGGACUGGGAGGUGUUUUGGCAGAGGAGGAAGAGGAAUGUAUAGCUUCAAUUUUGAGCAUGUUGGAGGAGGCGGAAGAGUAAACCUCUUUCAGAAUCAUGGAAAUUCCCCCCCCCCCUUCAAAAAAGAAGCUAGCUGCUGGAUUGACUAAGAUUUAGAGUCCCCUAUGAUGUGUUCCCAUUAACUAUUAGAUCGAUGACGAUUAUGAGGAAGAGGGACUCAUAACUUGUGGGAGCAGGAAUGGAAAAGUAUUAAAAUGGGUUCCAUUGCAUUUUGACUAUAAUGCUAGAGAAUUCCAACUGUUUUCAUAAUUUAAGAAAAGUGUUGAAACUGAGAAAUGUGAAAUUUUAAGACCCUCAUUAGUUAAGUAAGAUAAAUAGAUAGUAAGAAUAAUAAAAGAGAUAUAAGCGUGUGCUUAAACUUUAAAAAAUAUUUUCAUUUGUAUAGUAUUAUUUUAAAAGUUGAUAUGAAACUAAAAGGCCUCUUUAAGUAUUACUGCAAAUGACAGAGAGACUACGAAAAAAGCCAAAA